UACGGAGGGUGCGAGCGUUAAUCGGAGUUACUGGGCGUAAAGGGUGCGUAGGUGGUUUGGUAAGUUAUCUGUGAAAUCCCCGGGCUUAACCUGGGCAGGUCAGAUAAAACUGCGAGACUCGAGUAUAGGAGAGGGUAGUGGAAUUUCCGGUGUAGCGGUGAAAUGCGUAGAGAUCGGAAGGAACACCAGUGGCGAAGGCGGCUACCUGGCCUAAUACUGACACUGAGGCACGAAAGCGUGGGGAGCAAACAGG
Molecule: ribosomal RNA, 253 nt
Filed under: uncultured bacterium
Lineage: Bacteria
Description: partial 16S ribosomal RNA
Rfam family: Bacterial small subunit ribosomal RNA
Source: RNAcentral